GGUGAUUGGUAUAUUUGCUCAGAUAAUUACAGAUCCUGUACAUAGCAACCUUCCAAUGUCCCACCUCGAUACACUUGUGUUGUCUUUUUUUUCCCCAACUAGACUUGAGUUCUGUGAGGGUAAAAGCUAUACCUUCCUACUUCUUUUGAAUUCCUUCACAGAAUGAGUCUUCCAAACACCCAGCUAGCUCUGGAAAUGUGUACAUCAACCUCAUUAGAUAUGUGGACAUCCCUGGAAAGUAUAUGCCAAGAGAUGACUGUAAUGAUCCUAAGAGGUGAAUGCUACCUAGUAAGUUUGUUACUGAGAUAGUUUGGGAGGCAGGAGAAAUCAUCCAAAUAUGGACUUUACUGUCCAGAAGAUCUAUACUCAAGUCAUGUCCGUGACAAACACCGGAUGUAUGACAACUUCUUAGUGUCUUUAACAAAUAAAAAGUGGUCUGGGGGCUCA
This 447-nucleotide long non-coding RNA is filed under the name Monodelphis domestica (gray short-tailed opossum). Its description in RNAcentral is "lncRNA (ENSMODG00000036835.1)". The record is from RNAcentral. Lineage: Eukaryota; Metazoa; Chordata; Mammalia; Didelphimorphia; Didelphidae.